Non-coding RNA from Cinara cedri, 1199 nucleotides. The record is from the annotation of a GenBank genome assembly. NCBI's taxonomy places the organism in Eukaryota, Metazoa, Arthropoda, Insecta, Hemiptera, Aphididae.
CACUUGAUUACAUCGAUAGGACAAGUAAGUAUAGUUUGUUUAAUAACUCUUACAUUUUAAUGGGUAGAUUAGUAUUUUUAUUUUAACACAAAGAAGUAAAAAGGAAAAAGCAAAAUUAUGUAUUUCUAUUUUUUAAUCAAAAAACUUUAUAAAGUUUUAAAUAUAAUAAUUUUCCGCGAUAUUAUUAUGGCAUUAUGCACUCUACAUUUCCAUCGAGCCUAUUUCUGCCCAAAUGAUUAAUACUAUUUUAUUUAAAUGAAAAAAUGUCGAUUUAAGUAUUUAUUGCUUAUGAACGUCAUUAUUAAAUAGUAUUUGCUAUAGUAAAUAAGUAUAAAUAUUUGAUUAUAUUUUAUAGGUGACGCAUAUGAUUAUGUUGAGCAUCUGAUGACUUUUGUGGAUUUUGAUGGUACUUUUACAUGAAUUAAUAAUUAUAAUAAUUUUAGACAACCAUUGUUUUUCUCACUCAAACACGACAAUGGUAACAUGACUGACAGUUCGGAUAUCCAAAUGAAGAACAUUUAACCUGCAGAAUUCUGCCUCUAAAAAAAUUUGGCCUUUAUGAUAAGUAAUAUUAUAUAGGUGUUUACUGCCCUCAAUAAAAAAAAAACCUGUGGCUUCCGUCCAAUUUUUCCUAUAGGAAUCACGUGGCAUAGUGAAUAUUUUUCAAGGGGUUUUCGGAACUCUAAGUAGGUAUUUAAUUUACACUCUAAUUUUAUAUGUAUAUUCAUUAUUAGUAACGGUCUAAUAUACUAUUACAUUAACGCAUACAAUUAUAAUGUAAUUAAAUAUUCAUGUAAUCUUUUAUUCUUAUUUGUAGAGAAUAAUGUCACGGAGUCACAUCCAAAAGAAUUUUGCAAAAGGGAGGAAAUGAAUAAUAUCAAACCAAUUUCAUCCCUACUCCCGGAUUAGAAUCCUGAUGAAAUCUGACAAAACAAAUUUAUAUUGCAUUUAUAUUGUAUGUUAAAUAUUAAUCUGCAUAUUUUUCUGUUAGUAGAUUAUAAUAUUACUAUUAAAAAUAGUCAUAUUUAUCGUAAGCACAUAAAAGUGUAUUUACGGUUGUGAAUAUAUUUCACAAUAUUAUAUUGACAAAAAAAAAUAAAUUCGAUAUUAUAUGUAUAUUCUAAUAUGUUUGAUAGUUAUGCUUAAAUUCAAUACAAAUAUUUAUAAAUUGUAUUAAAUAUAGUAAUAUCAAAGUAAAA